GCGGAUCUCUUAAAGCUGUUCUCAGUUCGGACUGCAGUCUGCAACUCGACUGCACGAAGCUGGAAUCGCUAGUAAUCGCGGAUCAGCACGCCGCGGUGAAUACGUUCCCGGGCCUUGUACACACCGCCCGUCACACCAUGGAAGUCUGCAAUGCCCGAAGCCGGUGGCCUAACCACUUAUGUGGAAGGAGCCGUCUAAGGCAGGGCAGAUGACUGGGGUGAAGUCGUAACAAGGUAGC
RNAcentral lists this ribosomal RNA (238 nucleotides) under uncultured bacterium. RNAcentral's name for it is "partial 16S ribosomal RNA". It matches the Rfam family "Bacterial small subunit ribosomal RNA", at positions 1267 to 1500 of the family's 1533-position model. The record is from RNAcentral.